CCUACGGGAGGCAGCAGUGAGGAAUAUUGGUCAAUGGGCGGGAGCCUGAACCAGCCAAGCCGCGGGAGGGAAGAAGGUAAAGCGUAUCGUAAACCUCUUUUGUCAGGGAACAAAGGCGGGGACUAGUCCCCGGAUGAGGGUACCUGAAGAAAAAGCAUCGGCUAACUCCGUGCCAGCAGCCGCGGGAAUACGCGGGAUGCGAGUGUUAGCCGGAUUGAUUGGGCUUAAAGGUGGCGCAGGCGGCCUUUUAAGGCAGCGGUAAAAGCCCGGGGCUCAACCCCGGCGAGCCGUUGAAACUGGCGGGCUGGAGUUGGAGAGAAGUACUCGGGAUGCGCGGUGUAGCGGGGAAAUGCUUAGAUCUCGCGCAGAACCCCGAUUGCGAAGGCAGCGUACCGGCUCCACACUGACUCUGAGGCACGAAAGCGUGGGUAUCGAACAGGAUUAGAUACCCGAGUAGUC
RNAcentral lists this ribosomal RNA (459 nucleotides) under uncultured bacterium. RNAcentral's name for it is "partial 16S ribosomal RNA". It matches the Rfam family "Bacterial small subunit ribosomal RNA", at positions 338 to 795 of the family's 1533-position model. The record is from RNAcentral.